UGCCAGCCGCCGCGGUAAUACGAAGGGACCUAGCGUAGUUCGGAAUUACUGGGCUUAAAGAGUUCGUAGGUGGUUGAAAAAGUUAGUGGUGAAAUCCCAGAGCUUAACUCUGGAACUGCCAUUAAAACUUUUCAGCUAGAGUAUGAUAGAGGAAAGCAGAAUUUCUAGUGUAGAGGUGAAAUUCGUAGAUAUUAGAAAGAAUACCAAUUGCGAAGGCGACUUUCUGGACAAUUACUGACACUGAGGAACGAAAGCGUGGGGAGCGAACAGGAUUAGAUA
Molecule: ribosomal RNA, 279 nt
Filed under: uncultured bacterium
Lineage: Bacteria
Description: partial 16S ribosomal RNA
Rfam family: Bacterial small subunit ribosomal RNA
Source: RNAcentral